CAACAGGGAUUGCCCUAGUAACGGCGAGUGAAGCGGCAACAGCUCAAAUUUGAAAUCUGGCUCUUUCAGAGUCCGAGUUGUAAUUUGCAGAGGGCGCUUUGGCUUUGGCAGCGGUCCAAGUUCCUUGGAACAGGACGUCACAGAGGGUGAGAAUCCCGUACGUGGUCGCUAGCUAUUGCCGUGUAAAGCCCCUUCGACGAGUCGAGUUGUUUGGGAAUGCAGCUCUAAAUGGGAGGUAAAUUUCUUCUAAAGCUAAAUAUUGGCCAGAGACCGAUAGCGCACAAGUAGAGUGAUCGAAAGAUGAAAAGCACUUUGGAAAGAGAGUCAAACAGCACGUGAAAUUGUUGAAAGGGAAGCGCUUGCAGCCAGACUUGCUUGCAGUUGCUCAUCCGGGCUUUUGCCCGGUGCACUCUUCUGUAGGCAGGCCAGCAUCAGUUUGGGCGGUGGGAUAAAGGUCUCUGACACGUUCCUUCCUUCGGGUUGGCCAUAUAGGGGAGACGACAUACCACCAGCCUGGACUGAGGUCCGCGCAUCUGCUAGGAUGCUGGCGUAAUGGCUGUAAGCGGCCCGUCUUGAAACACGGACCAAGGAGUCUAACAUCUAUGCGAGUGUUUGGGUGUCAAGCCCGAACGCGUAAUGAAAGUGAACGGAGGUGGGAACCCGCAAGGGUGCACCAUCGACCGAUCCUGAAGUUUACGGAAGGAUUUGAGUAAGAGCAUGGCUGUUGGGACCCGAAAGAUGGUGAACUAUGCUUGAAUAGGGUGAAGCCAGAGGAAACUCUGGUGGAGGCUCGCAGCGGUUCUGACGUGCAAAUCGAUCGUCAAAUUUGGGCAUAGGGGCGAAAGACUAAUCGAACU
RNAcentral lists this ribosomal RNA (857 nucleotides) under Curvularia homomorpha. RNAcentral's name for it is "LSU rRNA". It matches the Rfam family "Eukaryotic large subunit ribosomal RNA", at positions 66 to 941 of the family's 3401-position model. Lineage: Eukaryota; Fungi; Ascomycota; Dothideomycetes; Pleosporales; Pleosporaceae. The record is from RNAcentral.